Small nuclear RNA from Callithrix jacchus (white-tufted-ear marmoset), 107 nucleotides. The record is from Ensembl. NCBI's taxonomy places the organism in Eukaryota, Metazoa, Chordata, Mammalia, Primates, Cebidae.
AUGCUCAUUUUGGCAGCACCUACACUAAAAUGGGGAAGAUACACAGAAGAUGGGCAUGGCCACCAUGCAAUGAUGACAUGCAAAGGUGUGCAGUGUUCAAUAUUUUU